This 490-nucleotide ribosomal RNA is filed under the name uncultured bacterium. RNAcentral's name for it is "partial 16S ribosomal RNA". It matches the Rfam family "Bacterial small subunit ribosomal RNA", at positions 28 to 507 of the family's 1533-position model. The record is from RNAcentral.
GGUGAACGCUGGCGGUAGGCCUAACACAUGCAAGUCGAACGGCAGCACAGGAGAGCUUGCUCUCUAGGUGGCGAGUGGCGGACGGGUGAGGAAUACAUCGGAAUCUGCCCAGUCGUGGGGGAUAACGUAGGGAAACUUACGCUAAUACCGCAUACGACCUUCGGGUGAAAGAGGGGGAUCGCAAGACCUCUCGCGAUUGGAUGAGCCGAUGUCGGAUUAGCUAGUUAGCGGGGUAAUGGCCCACCAAGGCGACGAUCCGUAGCUGGUCUGAGAGGAUGAUCAGCCACACUGGAACUGAGACACGGUCCAGACUCCUACGGGAGGCAGCAGUGGGGAAUAUUGGACAAUGGGCGCAAGCCUGAUCCAGCCAUACCGCGUGGGUGAAGAAGGCCUUCGGGUUGUAAAGCCCUUUUGUUGGGAAAGAAAUCUUUCAGGCUAAUACCCUGGGAGGAUGACGGUACCCAAAGAAUAAGCACCGGCUAACUUCGUG